This 840-nucleotide ribosomal RNA is filed under the name Triticum aestivum (bread wheat). Its description in RNAcentral is "partial small subunit ribosomal RNA". Lineage: Eukaryota; Viridiplantae; Streptophyta; Magnoliopsida; Poales; Poaceae. The record is from RNAcentral.
AUGCACGUCGAAGAGCUCAUAAAUCCAGUAACUAACACUUGGGACCUAGACCUACUGAACCAAUCAAUGGUAAGCGAAGAUGUACAAGUUAUACUCAGGAUCCCAAUUCAUGAGCAGCUAGAUGACUUCCCAGCAUGGCACUAUGAUAAGAAAGGACUUUUCUCAGUCAAAUCUGCAUACAAAGUAGCACGGGAUUGUGAAGCGCAUGAAUCUGUGAAAGGGCUACCUGAAUGCUCCAGUCCAGUGGGAAACACAUGUGGUUUCGAAUGGAAGAGACUAUGGUCACUCCCUCUGCCUAACAAGAUUCUGCACUUCCUAUGGAGAGUGGCCACCAACAGUUUACCAUUGAGGAUGAAACUGAAACAAAGAGUUAAACCAAUCUGGAGAGGACUUCAAAUGGAGGACACGAGAGAGUUAAUUGCUGGAUGCCCAAGCGGCCCAUCUCUCCUACAGGAAAUAUUCAAUCUAAACGAAGACAAGAGGCUCGCAGCUUGUUGUUUGCUCUGGAUCUGGCAUCAAUCCUUCUCAGGUGGUUGGGGCUUUAUAGUCAGGAAUGAUCGAGGAGUAGCGGUGGCAGCUGGACAAGGUCAUCUUCAAGCUGAACCUCGAGCUCUUCUCCAAGCGGUGCAAAUCACCUCAUCAAUGGGGUGUAAUCAGACUAUGGCUGCUCGGCGUGCUGUGUCUUUGCCUCUGUCUGCUGCUGCAUCUGAUGUGUGGCUUCUAAGGCCAUGUCACAGCCCUGACGAUGAGCGCUAUGGAUUAGAAUCCUGGCCGUUUUUGCCUGUGAGAGAAUUUCCUGGGGCCUCCCAGGUCCCAGCCAGCGCUGCUAGACUUGGCUAA